UACGUNCCAGCAGCCGCGGUAAUACGUAGNUCCCGAGCGUUGUCCGGAUUUAUUGGGCGUAAAGGGAGCGCAGGCGGUCAGGAAAGUCUGGAGUAAAAGGCUAUGGCUCAACCAUAGUGUGCUCUGGAAACUNUCUGACUUGAGUGCAGAAGGGGAGAGUGGAAUUCCAUGUGUAGCGGUGAAAUGCGUAGAUAUAUGGAGGAACACCAGUGGCGAAAGCGGCUCUCUGGUCUGUCACUGACGCUGAGGCUCGAAAGCGUGGGUAGCGAACAGGAUUAGAUACCCUGGUAGUCCACGCCGUAAACGAUGAGUGCUAGGUGUUAGGCCCUUUCCGGGGCUUAGUGCCGGAGCUAACGCAAUAAGCACUCCGCCUGGGGAGUACGACCGCAAGGUUGAAACUCAAAGGAAUUGACGGGGGCCCGCACAAGCGGUGGAGCAUGUGGUUUAAUUCGAAGCAACGCGAAGAACCUUACCAGGUCUUGACAUCCCGAUGCUAUUCUUAGAGAUAGGAAGUUACUUCGGUACAUCGGAGACAGGUGGUGCAUGGUUGUCGUCAGCUCGUGUCGUGAGAUGUUGGGUUAAGUCCCGCAACGAGCGCAACCCUUAUUGUUAGUUGCCAUCAUUAAGUUGGGCACUCUAGCGAGACUGCCGGUAAUAAACCGGAGGAAGGUGGGGAUGACGUCAAAUCAUCAUGCCCCUUAUGACCUGGGCUACACACGUGCUACAAUGGUCGGUACAACGAGUUGCGAGCCGGUGACGGCAAGCUAAUCUCUGAAAGCCGAUCUCAGUUCGGAUUGGAGGCUGCAACUCGCCUCCAUGAAGUCGGAAUCGCUAGUAAUCGCGGAUCAGCACGCCGCGGUGAAUACGUUCCCGGGCCUUGUACACACCGCCCGUCACACCACGAGAGUUUGUAACACCCGAAGUCG
Molecule: ribosomal RNA, 926 nt
Filed under: uncultured bacterium
Lineage: Bacteria
Description: bacterial SSU rRNA
Rfam family: Bacterial small subunit ribosomal RNA
Source: RNAcentral